UAAGGAAUCUUCCACAAUGGGGGCAACCCUGAUGGAGCAACGCCGCGUGCAGGAUGAAGGCCUUCGGGUUGUAAACUGCUUUUAUGUGCGAGGAAUAUGACGGUAACACAUGAAUAAGGAUCGGCUAACUCCGUGCCAGCAGCCGCGGUCAUACGGAGGAUCCGAGCGUUAUCCGGAGUGACUGGGCGUAAAGAGUUGCGUAGGUGGUAGUUUAAGCAAAUAGUGAAAUCACGUGGCUCAACCACGUUGCUAUUAUUUGAACUGAAUUACUUGAGAACGGGAGAGGUAGAUGGAAUUCCCUGUGUAGGAGUGAAAUCCGUAGAUAUAGGGAGGAACACCAAUGGCGUAGGCAGUCUACUGGCCCGUUUCUGACACUGAGGCACGAAAGCGUGGGGAGCGAACCGGAUUAGAUACCCCCGUAGUCC
This 425-nucleotide ribosomal RNA is filed under the name uncultured bacterium. Its description in RNAcentral is "bacterial SSU rRNA". It matches the Rfam family "Bacterial small subunit ribosomal RNA", at positions 355 to 796 of the family's 1533-position model. The record is from RNAcentral.